RNAcentral lists this ribosomal RNA (468 nucleotides) under uncultured bacterium. Its description in RNAcentral is "partial 16S ribosomal RNA". It matches the Rfam family "Bacterial small subunit ribosomal RNA", at positions 28 to 507 of the family's 1533-position model. The record is from RNAcentral.
GACGAACGCUGGCGGCGUGCUUAACACAUGCCAGUCGAACGGAAAGGCCCUGCUUUUGUGGGGUGCUCGAGUGGCGAACGGGUGAGUAACACGUGAGUAACCUGCCCUUGACUUUGGUAUAACUUCAGGAAACUGGGGCUAAUACCGGAUAGGAGCUCCUGCUGCAUGGUGGGGGUUGGAAAGUUUCGGCGGUUGGGGAUGGACUCGCGGCUUAUCAGCUUGUUGGUGGGGUAGUGGCUUACCAAGGCUUUGACGGGUAGCCGGCCUGAGAGGGUGACCGGCCACAUUGGGACUGAGAUACGGCCCAGACUCCUACGGGAGGCAGCAGUGGGGAAUAUUGCACAAUGGGCGGAAGCAUGAUGCAGCAACGCCGCGUGCGGGAUGACGGACUUCGGGUUGUAAACCGCUUUCGCCUGUGACGAAGCGUGAGUGACGGUAAUGGGUAAAGAAGCACCGGCUAACUACGUG